This 776-nucleotide ribosomal RNA is filed under the name uncultured Neocallimastigales. RNAcentral's name for it is "partial large subunit ribosomal RNA". It matches the Rfam family "Eukaryotic large subunit ribosomal RNA", at positions 23 to 634 of the family's 3401-position model. The record is from RNAcentral. Lineage: Eukaryota; Fungi; Neocallimastigomycota; Neocallimastigomycetes; Neocallimastigales.
UAGAGAGAGACAUGCGCGCAUAUCAAUAAGCGGAGGAAAAGAAACUAACAAGGAUUCCCUUAGUAACGGCGAGUGAAGCGGGAAGAGCUCAAAUUUGAAAUCUUCAAGGUUUUAGCCUUGACGAAUCGUAGUUUAAAGAAGUGUUUUCUGCUGAAGUUUUGGUAAAAGUUCUUCGGAAUAGGACAUCAUAGAGGGUGAGAAUCCCGUAUUUGACCAUUAUUUUCAGCUUUGUGAUACGCUUUCAAAGAGUCGGAUUGUUUGGGAAUGCAGUCCAAAAUGGGUGGUAAAUUUCAUCUAAAGCUAAAUAUUGGCGAGAGACCGAUAGCGAACAAGUACCGUGAGGGAAAGAUGAAAAGAACUUUGAAAAGAGAGUUAAACAGUACGUGAAAUUGUCAAAAGGGAAGCGUUUGACACCAGUGUUGUUUUCUCGAAAAUCAAUUAAAAAUGGCUCGAUUUUGUAUUGUUGAGACCUUAAAAGCUCACUGUACAUUUUUCGUGUCUUUUUUAAUGCACUUUUCGUUUAACAAGUCAACAUCAGUUUCUUUUGUUGUAAAAGGGUCAUUGGAAGGUGGCUUUCUUUUCGGAGAAAGUGUUUAUAGCCUUUGGCCUCUGCAAUCGGAGAGACUGAGGUCUGCAGCGUAGACUCUUCGGGGUUAGAUACAUUUGUGCUAAGUUAUAGCUUUUUAUAGACAACUUGUUGACUAUAAUUAGUCUUGUAGCUUACUCGCUUAUGCUAUUUUACCUACGCUUAGGAUGUUGAAGAUGUAGCACAUCAU